RNAcentral lists this ribosomal RNA (484 nucleotides) under uncultured bacterium. RNAcentral's name for it is "partial 16S ribosomal RNA". It matches the Rfam family "Bacterial small subunit ribosomal RNA", at positions 30 to 507 of the family's 1533-position model. The record is from RNAcentral.
AUUGAACGCUGGCGGCAGGCCUAACACAUGCAAGUCGAGCGGAUGAAGGGAGCUUGCUCCUGGAUUCAGCGGCGGACGGGUGAGUAAUGCCUAGGAAUCUGCCUGGUAGUGGGGGAUAACGUCCGAAAACGGGCGCUAAUACCGCAUACGUCCUGAGGGAGAAAGUGGGGGAUCUUCGGACCUCACGCUAUCAGAUGAGCAUAGGUCGGAUUAGCUAGUUGGGGGGGUAAAGGACUACCAAGGCGACGAUCCGUAACUGGUCUGAGAGGAUGAUCAGUCUGCUUGGCACUGAGGAACGGCCGCCACACUUGCGGGAGGACGCAGCGGGGACUCUUGGACGAUGGGGGAAAGGCUAAUCCAGCGCAGUCGGCGGUGGCCAGACGGUCUUCUGACGCUUAAAUACUGUAAGUUGUGAGGAAGGGAAGUACUUUCAUACCGUGCUGUUUUGACGUUACCAACAGAAUAAGCCCCGGCUAACUUCGUG